AGAGUCUGAUGGAGCAACGCCGCGUGAGUGAAGAAGGUUUUCGGAUCGUAAAACUCUGUUGUUGGAGAAGAACGUAUUUGAUAGUAACUGAUCAGGUAGUGACGGUAUCCAACCAGAAAGCCACGGCUAACUACGUGCCAGCAGCCGCGGUAAUACGUAGGUGGCAAGCGUUGUCCGGAUUUAUUGGGCGUAAAGCGAGCGCAGGCGGUUUCUUAAGUCUGAUGUGAAAGCCUUCGGCUCAACCGAAGAAGUGCAUCGGAAACUGGGAAACUUGAGUGCAGAAGAGGACAGUGGAACUCCAUGUGUAGCGGUGAAAUGCGUAGAUAUAUGGAAGAACACCAGUGGCGAAGGCGGCUGUCUGGUCUGUAACUGACGCUGAGGCUCGAAAGCAUGGGUAGCAAACAGGAUUAGAUACCCUGGUAGUCCAUGCCGUAAACGAUGAGUGCUAGGUGUUGGAGGGUUUCCGCCCUUCAGUGCCGCAGCUAACGCAUUAAGCACUCCGCCUGGGGAGUACGACCGCAAGGUUGAAACUCAAAGGAAUUGACGGGGGCCCGGCACAAGAA
This 563-nucleotide ribosomal RNA is filed under the name Lactobacillus sp. Its description in RNAcentral is "bacterial SSU rRNA". It matches the Rfam family "Bacterial small subunit ribosomal RNA", at positions 378 to 931 of the family's 1533-position model. Lineage: Bacteria; Bacillati; Bacillota; Bacilli; Lactobacillales; Lactobacillaceae. The record is from RNAcentral.